AUGGUAGAUACAGUUAGUAAGACUUGCACUUCUAGUGAGGGUGACAAAAUCAAAUGGGGGCUGGGUCCUAAAACCUACUUCACCACUCGCUCGGUUUAUGCAUUUCUGGAGAGGCAAAUUGCGGGAUGUAACUAUAAUUGGAUUUGGAGAGCUAGUAUACCUUUGAAGAUCCAAAUCUUUAUGUGGCAAUUGUCACAAAAUGCAAUCUUAACCAGAGAUGUGAUGAAGCACAGGGGGUGGGAAAAAGAUCCUAAAUGCUCCUUUUGUGCUACAAAUGAAACAUCUCAACAUCUCUUUUUUACUUGCCCAGUGGCCAGGGUAACUUGGAGAGCGGUGGCGUGUAUGUUUGGGACUGAUUUAUGUCCAAAUAACAUAUCAAGCAUAUUCGUGGUGCUAUUCGUUCUUCCCAAAAGGGGAAGUGUUCUACACAAUGGGCAUUGCUGCCAUAUGCUGGGCGAUCUGGACGUGUCGCAACAGAGCUACUUUUGA
RNAcentral lists this ribosomal RNA (489 nucleotides) under Triticum aestivum (bread wheat). Its description in RNAcentral is "partial small subunit ribosomal RNA". The record is from RNAcentral. Lineage: Eukaryota; Viridiplantae; Streptophyta; Magnoliopsida; Poales; Poaceae.